RNAcentral lists this ribosomal RNA (210 nucleotides) under uncultured Actinomycetales bacterium. RNAcentral describes it as "partial 16S ribosomal RNA". It matches the Rfam family "Bacterial small subunit ribosomal RNA", at positions 120 to 334 of the family's 1533-position model. The record is from RNAcentral. Lineage: Bacteria; Bacillati; Actinomycetota; Actinomycetes; Actinomycetales.
GGUGAUCUGCCCUGCACUUCGGGAUAAGCUUGGGAAACUGGGUCUAAUACCGGAUAGGAGCCAUCUUUAGUGUGGUGGUUGGAAAGUUUUUCGGUGUAGGAUGAGCUCGCGGCCUAUCAGCUUGUUGGUGGGGUAAUGGCCUACCAAGGCGGCGACGGGUAGCCGGCCUGAGAGGGUGUACGGCCACAUUGGGACUGAGAUACGGCCCAG